RNAcentral lists this ribosomal RNA (253 nucleotides) under uncultured bacterium. RNAcentral describes it as "partial 16S ribosomal RNA". It matches the Rfam family "Bacterial small subunit ribosomal RNA", at positions 524 to 776 of the family's 1533-position model. The record is from RNAcentral.
UACGUAGGGGGCGAGCGUUGUCCGGAAUCAUUGGGCGUAAAGAGCGUGUAGGCGGCCCGGUCAGUCUGGUGUGAAAACUUGAGGCUCAACCUCAAGCUGUCAUCGGAUACUGCCGGGCUAGAGUCCGGAAGAGGAGAGUGGAAUUCCUGGUGUAGCGGUGGAAUGCGCAGAUAUCAGGAGGAACAUCCGUGGCGAAGGCGGCUCUCUGGUACGGUACUGACGCUGAGACGCGAAAGCGUGGGGAGCGAACAGG